Molecule: long non-coding RNA, 460 nt
Organism: Schistocerca piceifrons (Central American locust)
Lineage: Eukaryota; Metazoa; Arthropoda; Insecta; Orthoptera; Acrididae
Exons: 3
Source: RefSeq, a predicted model, not a curated record
GCCCCGUGGUCAACCUGCUGGGCGUGCUCACGCUGGACCUGCGGCUCGUCGCAGGUUUCGUCUCCAUCGUCACCACCUACAGCACCCUGUUCCUCACGUUCAUGCCUUCAGGUUGCACUGACAAAUGAACAAGACAGGUCAACUCCACAAACUGCUGUGCGAACCUCUCUGGCCAGCAAGUCGUCCUGUUCGUAUACACGCUGUUCGGCAUGAUACCCUUUACUGUGAACUCUGAGGAGAUCUGUAACAGAACUCGCUCCACCAACCAGCGUGUGUGCGCUCACUCAAGCUGCUGUAUGAGGCCUUGUGCGAGACAUCAGAAAGUGUUGCGUCAGCUCACGAGUGGUUCCUUGUGACUUCCUUAGUGACUGUGGCCACAAACACAGUGCAAGCGAUUCACUUCAUCGCCAGUGGGGCGAACAUGUUGGACGUACAGAGCGCCACGAUCCGACGGCACAAG